UACGGGAGGCAGCAGUGGGGAAUAUUGCACAAUGGGCGCAAGCCUGAUGCAGCCAUGCCGCGUGUAUGAAGAAGGCCUUCGGGUUGUAAAGUACUUUCAGUCGUGAGGAAGGUGUUAAGGUUAAUAACCUUAGCAAUUGACGUUAGCGACAGAAGAAGCACCGGCUAACUCCGUGCCAGCAGCCGCGGUAAUACGGAGGGUGCGAGCGUUAAUCGGAAUUACUGGGCGUAAAGGGCACGCAGGCGGUUAAUUAAGUUGGAUGUGAAAUCCCCGGGCUUAACCUGGGAAUGGCAUUCAAGACUGGUUAGCUAGAGUCUUGUAGAGGGGGUAGAAUUCCAUGUGUAGCGGUGAAAUGCGUAGAGAUGUGGAGGAAUACCGGUGGCGAAGGCGGCCCCUGGGACAAAGGACUGACGCUCAUGUGCGAAAGCGUGGGGAGCGAAACAGGGAUUUAGAUACCCGGU
This 461-nucleotide ribosomal RNA is filed under the name uncultured bacterium. Its description in RNAcentral is "bacterial SSU rRNA". It matches the Rfam family "Bacterial small subunit ribosomal RNA", at positions 340 to 791 of the family's 1533-position model. The record is from RNAcentral.